RNAcentral lists this long non-coding RNA (213 nucleotides) under Capsicum annuum. Its description in RNAcentral is "long non-coding RNA (CANN_LNC008588)". The record is from RNAcentral. Lineage: Eukaryota; Viridiplantae; Streptophyta; Magnoliopsida; Solanales; Solanaceae.
UUAUAGUGUCCAAAGUUGGUAUAUGCCAAGAGAGAUGCCACCACUUCUUUACUUAUUUAAUGCUUCCAGUUCUUCACUAAAGUUCAUGCAGAUCCAAAUGAUCUUGCUUUUAGGGAAACUAACCAUAAGAGCAGGUUGUAAAAUCCAACAAGUUCGAUGAUCCAUAUGAAUAAUUCAAAACGUGUUACUAACACCAAAUUUUGAAGUACUCCA